Pelobates cultripes (western spadefoot toad) is the source of this 220-nucleotide non-coding RNA. NCBI's taxonomy places the organism in Eukaryota, Metazoa, Chordata, Amphibia, Anura, Pelobatidae. The record is from the annotation of a GenBank genome assembly.
CUUUUUUUUAGACACCAGGAGAGAGAUUGGGGUAGUAGAGAAUCAUCUGGAAGUCAUCAGCAUCCAGGUGGUCACUGAAUCCAAAAGUAUUAAUAAGUUUGCUAAGAGAGGUAGUGUAGAGAGAAAGCUUAGUCAGAGCAUUUUCAGUAAAAUGCAGAAGGUAGACUAAAGAGGGUUGAGACAAGCAGUUCCAGAAGCUUUUAAAAGAAAGGGAGCAGAG